RNAcentral lists this long non-coding RNA (309 nucleotides) under Citrus x clementina. RNAcentral describes it as "Citrus clementina (C. clementina) long non-coding RNA (CCLE_LNC006456)". Lineage: Eukaryota; Viridiplantae; Streptophyta; Magnoliopsida; Sapindales; Rutaceae. The record is from RNAcentral.
AUUGAAAUUACGUAUCUGUAUCUAUUAUAAAAAAAAAUAAAUGAGGAAUGGAGUGAGGAUGAGGAAAUCAUUCCCCGUGUAGAGAUUCCCCAUUCCCACCCCACUAGGAUUAGGUAGCGUUUACAUUUUGGAUUGGAGUAUGAAUCUUGAGGAGUGGGAUCCUAGGAUUAGGAGUGUAGAGUGGGAAUGAGAGUAGGUUGUUUACUUACAUUGGAAUGAGAGAAUGAAAUUGAAACCAGAAUCCAAUUCAUGUGUUUACAUUAUCUUGGAUUGAGAGUAAAUAAUUUUAAAUUACAAUUUUACCUUUAU